GUCUACAGCCAUGCCACCCUGAAUGUUUCCGAUCUCGGAAGCUAAGCAGGUUUGGGCCUGAUUAGUACUUGGAUGGGAGACCACCAAGGAAUACCAGGUACUAUAGGUG
This 109-nucleotide ribosomal RNA is filed under the name Pteropus alecto (black flying fox). The record is from RNAcentral. Lineage: Eukaryota; Metazoa; Chordata; Mammalia; Chiroptera; Pteropodidae.